AUUGAACGCUGGCGGCAUGCCUUACACAUGCAAGUCGAACGGCAGCACGGGUGCUUGCACCUGGCGGCGAGUGGCGAACGGGUGAGUAAAGUAUCGGAACGGGCCCGUAAGUUGGGGAUAACUACCCGAAAGGGUGGCUAAUACCGCAUAUGCUGUGAGCAGGAAAGCGGGGGAUGGCACGACCUUGCGCUGAAGGAGCGGCCGAUAUCAGAUUAGCUAGUUGGUGGGGUAAAGGCCUACCAAGGCGACGAUCUGUAGCGGGUCUGAGAGGAUGAUCCGCCACAAUGGGACUGAGACACGGCCCAGACUCCUACGGGAGGCAGCAGUGGGGAAUUUUGGACAAUGGGGGCAACCCUGAUCCAGCCAUGCCGCGUGAGUGAAGAAGGCCUUCGGGUUGUAAAGCUCUUUCGGCCGGGAAGAAAUCGCAUGGGUUAACACCCUGUGUGGAUGACGGUACCGGAAUAAGAAGCACCGGCUAACUACGUGCCAGCCGCCGCUGUAA
RNAcentral lists this ribosomal RNA (502 nucleotides) under uncultured bacterium. Its description in RNAcentral is "partial 16S ribosomal RNA". It matches the Rfam family "Bacterial small subunit ribosomal RNA", at positions 29 to 523 of the family's 1533-position model. The record is from RNAcentral.